AUUGAACGCUGGCGGCAGGCCUAACACAUGCAAGUCGAGCGGAUGAAGGGGGCUUGCUCCUGGAUUCAGCGGCGGACGGGUGAGUAAUGCCUAGGAAUCUGCCUGGUAGUGGGGGAUAACGUCCGUAAACGGGCGCUAAUACCGCAUACGUCCUGAUGGAGAAAGUGGGGGAUCUUCGGACCUCACGCUAUCAGAUGAGCCUAGGUCGGAUUAGCUAGUUGGUGGGGUAAAGGCCUACCAAGGCGACGAUCCGUAACUGGUCUGAGAGGAUGAUCAGUCACACUGGAACUGAGACACGGUCCAGACUCCUACGGGAGGCAGCAGUGGGGAAUAUUCGACAAUGGGCGAAAGCCUGAUCCAGCAAUGCCGCGUGAGUGAAGAAGGUCUUCGGAUUGUAAAGCACUUUAAGUUGGGAGGAAGGGAAGUAAGUUAAUACCUUGCUGUUUUGACGUUACCAACAGAAUAAGCACCGGCUAACUUCGUG
This 484-nucleotide ribosomal RNA is filed under the name uncultured bacterium. RNAcentral's name for it is "partial 16S ribosomal RNA". It matches the Rfam family "Bacterial small subunit ribosomal RNA", at positions 30 to 507 of the family's 1533-position model. The record is from RNAcentral.